UACGGAGGAUGCAGGCGUUAUCCGGAUUCAUUGGGUUUAAAGGGUGCGUAGGCGGGCUAUUAAGUCAGUGGUGAAAUCCUGCAGCUUAACUGCAGAACUGCCGUUGAUACUGAUAGUCUUGAGUUUGGUUAAGGUAGGCGGAAUGUGUAAUGUAGCGGUGAAAUGCUUAGAUAUUACACAGAACACCAAUUGCGUAGGCAGCUUACUGAGCCGACACUGACGCUGAGGCACGAAAGCGUGGGGAUCAAACAGGA
Molecule: ribosomal RNA, 254 nt
Filed under: uncultured prokaryote
Description: partial 16S ribosomal RNA
Rfam family: Bacterial small subunit ribosomal RNA
Source: RNAcentral